GCCUUCGUGGUGUAGUGGUCAGCACGCUGGGCGCGUAUUACAGAGGUUCGUGGUUCAAGUCCCGACGAGGGCA
Molecule: non-coding RNA, 73 nt
Organism: Stegodyphus mimosarum
Lineage: Eukaryota; Metazoa; Arthropoda; Arachnida; Araneae; Eresidae
Source: Rfam